UCCACACCGUAAACGAUGAAUGCCAGACGUCAGCAAGUAUACUUGUUGGUGUCACACCUAACGGAUUAAGCAUUCCGCCUGGGGAGUACGGUCGCAAGAUUAAAACUCAAAGGAAUUGACGGGGGCCCGCACAAGCGGUGGAGCAUGUGGUUUAAUUCGACGCAACGCGCAGAACCUUACCAACCCUUGACAUCCUGUGCUACUACCAGAGAUGGUACGUUCCCUUCGGGG
Molecule: ribosomal RNA, 231 nt
Filed under: uncultured bacterium
Lineage: Bacteria
Description: partial 16S ribosomal RNA
Rfam family: Bacterial small subunit ribosomal RNA
Source: RNAcentral